Molecule: ribosomal RNA, 1707 nt
Filed under: Triticum aestivum (bread wheat)
Lineage: Eukaryota; Viridiplantae; Streptophyta; Magnoliopsida; Poales; Poaceae
Description: partial small subunit ribosomal RNA
Source: RNAcentral
AUGCAGCACCACGCGUACAGCCGCCUGGGGAGCUUCGGCGUGGGCGGCGGGGCGGGGGCGGCGGCGUCCCCGCCGUCGUCGCCGCGGCGGGCGUGGGGGAGGAGGGCGUCAGCCAAGGGCGGCGCGGGCGCGGGGAAGGCGGCGGGAGGGGGAGGCGCGGCGCGGCGGGCCGCGCGGGCGGUGCUGGCCGCGCUGCUGCGGCGGCAGGCCGUCUUCCUCUUCGCACCGCUGCUCUACGUCGCGGCGAUGCUGCUCUACAUGGGCUCCAUCUCCCUCGACGGCGUGCCCCGCAUCAUCUCCCGCCCCGCGCCCGGUUCGCUCUACCACAGCCCGCAGCUGUACGCCCGCCUGCGCCCCGAAAUGGACGCCGACAACGCCACGGACGCGCUAGCAACUGUAUGGCGACAUGCUUACAAAGGUGGUGUUUGGCAACCUUGCAUAAGCAAUAAUACCUAUGGUUUGCCCGAACCAAACGGCUACAUAUAUGUGGAGGCAAAUGGUGGUUUGAAUCAGCAAAGGACAUCGAUAUGCAAUGCAGUCGCAGUUGCUGGUUUUCUGAACGCAACUCUUGUAAUCCCAAAUUUUCACUACCACAGCAUUUGGAGGGAUCCUAGCAAAUUCAGUGAUAUCUAUGACGAGGACCACUUUGUCCAACGUUUGAAAAAUGAUGUUCGAGUGGUUGACAAGGUGCCUGGAUUCAUAAUGGAGCGGUUUAGUAACAAUUUGAGUAAUGUUCAUAAUUUCAAGAUAAGGGCUUGGUCUCCUAUUCAGUACUACAAAGAUGUUGUUCUUCCGAAGUUAAUUGAAGAAAAGCUCAUAAGGAUAUCACCUUUUGCAAAUCGGCUUUCAGUUGAUGCUCCGCCUGCUGUUCAACGACUGAGAUGCCUGGCUAACUUUGAAGCCUUAAAGUUUUCUAAACCAAUCACUGCUUUAUCUGACACUUUAAUUUCUCGAAUGAGAGAAAAAAGUGUGGAAAACAACGGGAAAUAUGUAGCAGUGCAUCUCCGUUUUGAAGAGGAUAUGGUUGCGUUCUCUUGCUGUGUCUUUGAUGGUGGUGAUGAGGAAAAAAAGGAAUUGGAUGAGGCCAGGGAAAGAGGUUGGCGUGGAAAAUUUACUAGGCCCGGACGUGUAAUAAGGCCUGGAGCAAUAAGGAUGAAUGGGAAAUGUCCACUUACACCUUUGGAGGUUGGAUUAAUGCUUCGUGGAAUGGGUUUCAGCAAUAAGACUUCAAUCUAUUUGGCUUCUGGGAGAAUAUAUAAAGCAGAGAAGAACAUGGCUCCUCUCCUUGAAAUGUUCCCUCUCUUACAGACAAAAGAAACAUUGGCAUCAGAUGAAGAACUUGCUCCGUUCAAGAAUUUCUCCUCGAGGAUGGCAGCUAUUGACUACAGCGUUUGUGUCCAUAGUGAGGUUUUCGUGACUACUCAAGGUGGAAAUUUUCCUCAUUUCCUUCUUGGUCAUAGAAGAUACUUGUAUGGUGGGCAUUCGAAGACAAUUAAGCCUGAUAAAAGAAGAUUGGCCGUACUCUUUGACAGUCCACGUAUCGGAUGGAAGUCAUUAAAACGUCAGCUGCUUAAUAUGAGGUCGCACAGCGAUGCCAAGGGUAUUCAGUUGAAAAGAGCAAAUGAAUCUGUAUACACGUUUCCAUGCCCUGACUGCAUGUGCCAUCCAAAUAAACCAGAACACCCUAAAUCCAUCCAGGCUAGAUAG